This 91-nucleotide transfer RNA is filed under the name Myoviridae sp. ctNQV2. RNAcentral's name for it is "tRNA-Ser". It matches the Rfam family "tRNA". Rfam says of the family: Transfer RNA (tRNA) molecules are approximately 80 nucleotides in length. Their secondary structure includes four short double-helical elements and three loops (D, anti-codon, and T loops). The record is from RNAcentral. Lineage: Duplodnaviria; Heunggongvirae; Uroviricota; Caudoviricetes.
GGAAGUGUACCCAAGUGGCUAUAAGGGGGCUGACUUGAAAUCAGUUAGGUCGUGUAACAGCGAUGCGUGGGUUCGAAUCCUACCACUUCCG